GUAACCUGCCUUAUAGUGGGGGAGUAGCCUUUCGAAAGGAAGAUUAAUACCGCAUAAGAUUGUAGUAUCGCAUGAUAUAGCAAUUAAAGGAGCAAUUCGCUAUAAGAUGGACCCGCGUCGCAUUAGCUAGUUGGUGAGGUGAUGGCUCACCAAGGCGACGAUGCGUAGCCGACCUGAGAGGGUGAUCGGCCACAUUGGGACUGAGACACGGCCCAGACUCCUACGGGAGGCAGCAUG
This 237-nucleotide ribosomal RNA is filed under the name uncultured bacterium. RNAcentral's name for it is "partial 16S ribosomal RNA". It matches the Rfam family "Bacterial small subunit ribosomal RNA", at positions 121 to 353 of the family's 1533-position model. The record is from RNAcentral.